GUAACUUUAGUUAGUUGCAUUGGAUUCCCAGAGGCAUUAGCACCAGUGAAAAAGUGUGUCAUCUUAAUCAUCAAUCUUUUGGUAACUGUAGCUGUUACUAGGGGUGUACCUAAAUACCCAGGACCAAAAAUCGGACCGUUUGGACCGGACUCGGAUCGGUAGAUUCAGGUCUGGUCUCGAUCCUUAAAAAUGGGUGAUUCCGGUUUUCGGUUCGGGUUUAAACUGGAAUUUUCCGGACCAAAAAACCGGUGUUUUUUUUUUUUGGGUAUAAUCAGGAAACGAAAAACUGAACGUUUCCUCUAAAAAAAACCCUAAGUUCGAUUCUCUCUCUCACCAAAAUCAAUUCUUUCUCUCACCGGCGACUCCUCAUUCAUGAUGGAGAGCUCCCAAUCCAAAUGAACGACCGCUUAUUCUCAAAACACGGCACAAUCACUUAGUGAAGUGGAUGUAGAAGAAUUGUAUGCUACUUUGCCUCCGGGUAAGAAGUUAAAAGUGGGGCGGGAAUAUCUACUUAAUAGAAAGAGUAAGAGGACAAAACCUUAUUGGGAAGACUUCAUUGAAUAUGUUGAAGGCAGGAGACUACGAGCCGAAUCAAAAAGUUCAACAGGGGAAACUCCAUUUUUUCUAGUUUAUGGUGCUGAAACCGUGCUCACAAUUGAAAUGUACGAACCCACUCUCCGAGUGAUGCUAUAUGAUGAGUCGGCCAAUUAGGAAGCCAUGAAGACCGCCCUAGACUUCCUUCCAGAAGCUAGGGGCAAUGCGACACUUAGACAUGAAAUUUACCGCCUAAGGAUGACAAGGGCAUAUAACCGCAAAGUGUCUAAGCGACCGCUGAAGAUUGGAGACUUGGUCUUGAGAAAAAUGGAAGCGGUAGGCCUUACCGAAUCAAAGAAGUACCUACCGUCUCGAAGACUUAGAUGGUCUCCUAUUCCUCGUACUUGGAAUGCGGACAAUCUGAAAAAAUAUCAUGUUUAAAGUUUUGUACUUAGCCAAGUUGUAUAUACAACUAGGUCUAGAUCAGACAACCGAGCCGUGUAAUUAAAGCCGUACGGCCACAAUAGUGUAAUUUUGACGAUAUUAAUGAAAAAAUCAAGCAUUGUUACUAAAA
Molecule: long non-coding RNA, 1108 nt
Organism: Chenopodium quinoa (quinoa)
Lineage: Eukaryota; Viridiplantae; Streptophyta; Magnoliopsida; Caryophyllales; Amaranthaceae
Exons: 3
Source: RefSeq, a predicted model, not a curated record